UAUAUAUAGAGUCUGGCUACUAUGCUAUUAAUAGCACAAAGCACUUGGUGCUACCAAGUUUUCCGCCGUUAAAUCUACCCUUGUGAUCAUUUUCACCCGUUAGAUCAUAUUAUUCAACCAACCACCCACUCAACCCUAGGGGGCCCACAUCAUCCUAACCGCACAUCUCUUAAUGCAAUGGCCAAAAACUUGGUAGCACCA
RNAcentral lists this long non-coding RNA (201 nucleotides) under Ananas comosus (pineapple). RNAcentral's name for it is "long non-coding RNA (ACOM_LNC021974)". Lineage: Eukaryota; Viridiplantae; Streptophyta; Magnoliopsida; Poales; Bromeliaceae. The record is from RNAcentral.